Molecule: long non-coding RNA, 1027 nt
Filed under: Anolis carolinensis (green anole)
Lineage: Eukaryota; Metazoa; Chordata; Lepidosauria; Squamata; Anolidae
Description: lncRNA (ENSACAG00000035675.1)
Source: RNAcentral
GCCCUGAAAGGAAGGGGAGGGGGAUUUCGCUGAGCUCUUUCCCCCCACUAACCUCUGGUCCAGGCUUUAUAGCAGAAAGAUUCCUUCCCAGGACAGGAGAGUUCACUUGUCUUGACAUCCUCCUCAAGCCAAAGGUGGCCCCGGCUCUUUAAAACUUGGCAUCGGUAGGAGGGUCUCCUGAAAGAAGAAGCGCGAGACCUUGGAUAUGAAGGCGGGGAGAGGCCGCAAAGGCCAUCCAGCCCAACCCCCUUUAAAGUAGGAAGAGGCCACCAAAGCAUCUCCGCAGAUUAUUUAUUGAUGGUGUCAGAAACGAACUGAGAACACAGCUAUAAUGUAUAAUAAAGCACAAGAGAAAAAGAAUGUGCUGAGAUCUGUGUUAACAUGUCAACAACCUAGCUCAAUUCUCAUUCCUACAUCGACAGAAUAGAAUCACCUUACAUUGCCAGCAAAGAGUUUUCUCAGCAGCAUUAGCAUUAGGAAGAUAGUGAUGGAGAACUGGAGGAACACAGAGUCUCGGUGCACCAAUCACAAACUGUAAAUGAAUGUACUUUUGAACUAAUGGGAUUGUGGAGCCUAAUUUGCACCAACCACAAACGCUUCGAACUGUCAAACUGUGCCCCAGGCAGAGGGCGCAUCCUGGACAAGAACUACCUGGCCAUUGUCCACGGACAACCAACAUUGCAUCCCAUCUGAGACUGCCUCAGUUGCAAGCCAGCUAUCACCAGGCAAAGAUCAAAACAAAGGCGCUGAUCGCCCAAGAUACCCCAAUAGAUAUUUUUGGACUUUUCCUUUAUUUCAGAAUGCCUAAGAGUGGAACUGGAGAUCACCACCUUUUGUCCACCACCUUUUGUCUUUUGUGCAGGAGGCUGUACAAGAUUUACCAUCAAGUCAAGCCUACCAUUUUGAAUUCACCAUUGUUAGUUUUGUCCAAGCCGUCCACAAUGUUUUUUGAAGUCCGUUAUGAAGAGUAAGAAGAUGUGUCAUCUUGUUGUUUUUAUGUGGUGGUUUUGUUAUUUUAUAACCUGGG